Molecule: ribosomal RNA, 122 nt
Filed under: Microtus ochrogaster (prairie vole)
Lineage: Eukaryota; Metazoa; Chordata; Mammalia; Rodentia; Cricetidae
Source: RNAcentral
GUCUACAGCCGCACUACCCUGAAUGCACAUGAACUCACCUUAGAAGCUAAGGAGGGUAAGGCCUGGUUAGUAUGUGGAUAAUAGAAUUCAGAAGGACGCGAAAGAAAAAGCAAUUAUAGAAG